This 20-nucleotide microRNA is filed under the name Ciona intestinalis (vase tunicate). RNAcentral's name for it is "cin-miR-4149-5p". The record is from miRBase by way of RNAcentral. Lineage: Eukaryota; Metazoa; Chordata; Ascidiacea; Phlebobranchia; Cionidae.
UAAUCUUUGUUGAUGGAAAA